RNAcentral lists this ribosomal RNA (301 nucleotides) under uncultured bacterium. RNAcentral's name for it is "partial 16S ribosomal RNA". It matches the Rfam family "Bacterial small subunit ribosomal RNA", at positions 509 to 807 of the family's 1533-position model. The record is from RNAcentral.
CAGUCGCCACGGGAAUACAGAGGGUGCGAGCGUUAAUCGGAUUUACUGGGCGUAAAGCGUGCGUAGGCGGCUUUUUAAGUCGGAUGUGAAAUCCCUGAGCUUAACUUAGGAAUUGCAUUCGAUACUGGGAAGCUAGAGUAUGGGAGAGGAUGGUAGAAUUCCAGGUGUAGCGGUGAAAUGCGUAGAGAUCUGGAGGAUUACCGAUGGCGAAGGCAGCCAUCUGGCCUAAUACUGACGCUGAGGUACGAAAGCAUGGGGAGCAAACAGGAUUAGAUACCCGCGUAGUCCCUGUCUCUUAUAC